Molecule: ribosomal RNA, 502 nt
Filed under: uncultured bacterium
Lineage: Bacteria
Description: partial 16S ribosomal RNA
Rfam family: Bacterial small subunit ribosomal RNA
Source: RNAcentral
GAUGAACGCUAGCGGCAGGCCUAACACAUGCAAGUCGAGGGGUAGCAGGAUUAAGCUUGCUUAAUUGCUGACGACCGGCGCACGGGUGCGUAACGCGUAUGCAACCUACCUUAUACUGGGGUAUAGCCCGGAGAAAUUCGGAUUAAUCCCCCAUAGUACUAAUGAAUCGCAUGGUUUAUUAGUUAAAGCAUUGCGGUAUAAGAUGGCAUGCGUCCUAUUAGCUAGAUGGUGAGGUAACGGCUCACCAUGGCUACGAUAGGUAGGGGGCCUGAGAGGGUGGUCCCCCACACUGGUACUGAGACACGGACCAGACUCCUACGGGAGGCAGCAGUGAGGAAUAUUGGUCAAUAGGCGCAAGCCUGAACCAGCCAUGCCGCGUGCAGGAAGAAUGCCCUAUGGGUUGUAAACUGCUUUUAUUUGGGAAUAAACCUCUUUACGUGUAGAGAGCUGAAGGUACCAAAUGAAUAAGCACCGGCUAACUCCGUGCCAGCCGCCGCGGUAA